UAAAUAAAUAUUCCACCGUCUCCAAUGGCGCUUCAGCUGCCAUUCCCACUCAUCUCUUCUUCCUUAUCAUCAUCACUCCCAUUGUUAACUUCUUCAAACUGCAAAAUUUGCUCAAUUUCCAUCUCACCCUUUACACAUAAACGCCUUUUAUCUCACUCCAAUCUACAAAAUUUUGGAUUUAGUAGCAGAGGCAGAAGCAAUUCUCUGUUUGUGAGUCAAGAAGACACCCAAUUGACUAAUGAGGAAGAAAGUUCCAUUUCCACUGCUACCCAACAAGAUGACGAUGACCCAGAUCCUGAAUCGCUUGAAUAUGUUUCUCAAAUUAAACGAGUGUUGGAGCUUCUUAAGAGAAAUCGGGAUAUGCUGUUCGGUGAGGUUAAAUUGACUAUAAUGAUUGAAGAUCCCAGGGACAUUGAGCGAAAGCGGCUUCUUGGCAUUGACGAUGAAAAUGCUCCCACAAGGGAUGACCUAGCUGCCUGUUUAGAAGAAAUAAAUGAAGGAGAAGUACCAAAAGAUCGGGUUGCUCUGCAGAUGCUUGCGGAAGAGAUGAAUUCAUGGCCUAAUUUGGAGGUUGAAGCCUUGAAGCAAAAUAAGAGCAGAUCCCUGUAUGCAAAAGCCACUGACACUGGUAUUGAUCCAAAAGAGGCUGCUAAGCGGCUCAAGAUUGACUGGGAUUCAGCAGCUGAGAUUGAGGAGGCAGCUGAUAGUGACGAACCAGAUGUUCCUCCAAUUCUGGGAUAUGGAGCUUUAUACUUGGUCUCUGCAUUACCAAUCAUCAUUGGCAUCUCUGUUGUGUUGAUUCUGUUCUAUAAUUCUCUACAGUGAUACACCUUUUGGCAUUUUUGCAGGGUGGAUAAAUUGUCAGUGUACACGAUUUGUCCUUCGAAUCAUAACAAUAGUGGAUACUUAAAUUUUGUUAUAGAAAAUGUAUGUUUGUAUCAGUUGUAAUAUAGAGCUCAUGAUGUAUUUUGAGUAAAGUCUCCCCUCUCCUGGCAUCAAAUCCAUUAUACAUAUACUCUGUGAAUGUGUGUUUUUAGUUAUAUGUAUGUAAGUGAAUCAG
Molecule: unclassified non-coding RNA, 1060 nt
Filed under: Hevea brasiliensis (rubber tree)
Lineage: Eukaryota; Viridiplantae; Streptophyta; Magnoliopsida; Malpighiales; Euphorbiaceae
Source: RNAcentral